CCUACGGGAGGCAGCAGUGGGGAAUAUUGGGCAAUGGAGGAAACUCUGACCCAGCAACGCCGCGUGAAUGAUGAAGGUCUUCGGAUUGUAAAGUUCUUUUCUAAGGGAAGAAGAAAGUGACGGUACCUUAGGAAUACGCCUCGGCUAACUACGUGCCGGCAGCCGCGGUAAUACGUAGGAGGCGAGCGUUAUCCGGAUUUAUUGGGUUGAAAGGGUGCGUAGGCGGGCCUUCAGGCCGGCGGUAAAAUUGCGGGGCUCAACCCCGCCGAGCCGGCGGAACCGGGGGCCUUGAGUACCGGAGAAGUACGCGGAAUGCGUGGUGUAGCGGUGAAAUGCAGAGAUAUCACGCAGAACCCCGAUUGCGAAGGCAGCGUACCGGCCGGUCACUGACGCUGAGGCACGAAAGCGCGGGUAUCGAACAGGAUUAGAUACCCCAGUAGUC
This 442-nucleotide ribosomal RNA is filed under the name uncultured bacterium. RNAcentral's name for it is "partial 16S ribosomal RNA". It matches the Rfam family "Bacterial small subunit ribosomal RNA", at positions 338 to 795 of the family's 1533-position model. The record is from RNAcentral.